GCACAGGUUCCCGGGGCGCUCCCCGCGGAUGGACCGCGGCGACCUCAUCCGCAGUCCCGCCGCGCGGCAGAUCGUGUCCAACUACUUCAGCAUGUUCGGGCCGGUGCAGGACGUGUGCAUCCCGUACCAGCAGAAGCGCAUGUUCGGCUUCGUCACCUUCGUGUACGCCGAGACGGUGAAGGCCAUCCUGAGCAAGGGCAACCCGCACUUCGUGUGCGACGCGCGCGUGCUCGUCAAGCCCUACAAGGAGAAGGGCAAGGUCCCCGG
Zea mays is the source of this 267-nucleotide RNA transcript. It is a transcript of the gene named zinc finger pseudogene, with no coding region annotated. NCBI's taxonomy places the organism in Eukaryota, Viridiplantae, Streptophyta, Magnoliopsida, Poales, Poaceae. The record is from RefSeq and is marked validated. The transcript has 2 exons.